Poecile atricapillus (Black-capped chickadee) is the source of this 161-nucleotide long non-coding RNA. RefSeq lists it as uncharacterized. The transcript has 3 exons. NCBI's taxonomy places the organism in Eukaryota, Metazoa, Chordata, Aves, Passeriformes, Paridae. The record is from RefSeq and is a predicted model, not a curated record.
GGGAAGGUUCUGGAAGGCUCAGAAGUUUGGGAAGGUUCCGGAAGGUUCCAGAAGGUUCCGGAAGGCUCGGGAAGGUUCCGGAAGGGGCGGGGCCGCACCUGCUCGGCGUAGAGGUCGUCGCGGUCGUGCAUGUGCUGGUGCUUGCCCAGGUCGGUGGUGAU